This 686-nucleotide ribosomal RNA is filed under the name uncultured delta proteobacterium. Its description in RNAcentral is "bacterial SSU rRNA". It matches the Rfam family "Bacterial small subunit ribosomal RNA", at positions 1 to 665 of the family's 1533-position model. The record is from RNAcentral. Lineage: Bacteria; Deltaproteobacteria.
UAGAGUUUGAUCCUGGCUCAGAAUGAACGUUGGCGGCGUGCUUAACACAUGCAAGUCGAACGAGAACACCAUAGCUUGCUAUGGUAAGUAAAGUGGCGCACGGGUGAGUAAUGCGUGGGUAAUCUGCCCUUGAAUUUGGGAUAACAUUGCGAAAGCGAUGCUAAUACCGGAUGAGGUCUUUAUACCAUAAGGUGUAGGGAUGAAAGGUGGCCUCUAUAUAUAAGCUACUGUUUGAGGAUGAGCCCGCGUACCAUUAGCUAGUUGGUGGGGUAAAGGCCUACCAAGGCAGCGAUGGUUAGCUGGUCUGAGAGGAUGAUCAGCCACACUGGAACUGACACACGGUCCAGACUCCUACGGGAGGCAGCAGUGAGGAAUUUUGCGCAAUGGGGGAAACCCUGACGCAGCAACGCCGCGUGAGUGAUGAAGGCUUUCGGGUCGUAAAGCUCUGUCAAAUGGGAAGAAUCUCUAGUAAUUUAAUAAAUUAUUAGACUGACGGUACCAUUAAAGGAAGCACCGGCUAACUCCGUGCCAGCAGCCGCGGUAAUACGGAGGGUGCAAGCGUUAUUCGGAAUUAUUGGGCGUAAAGAGCGCGUAGGCGGUUUAGUAAGUCAGAUGUGAAAGCCCGGGGCUUAACCCCGGAAGAGCAUUUGAAACUGUUAGACUUGAGUAUGGGAGAGGGAAGUGAA